Molecule: non-coding RNA, 666 nt
Organism: Peromyscus maniculatus bairdii (prairie deer mouse)
Lineage: Eukaryota; Metazoa; Chordata; Mammalia; Rodentia; Cricetidae
Source: RefSeq, a predicted model, not a curated record
CCCUUUCCAUCCUGAACAACGUGAUACUUAUUCUUGUCAUGGCUGUGAUCAAAUAGCUUUAAACAACUUACUUAUGAGAGGAGAGCUGCUUUAACUUCAGAUGUACAAGGGCCUAAGUCAACAUGUGGAGAAGUUUGUGGAGUGGACAUCAGGAGUGCGAUGCAGUUGGUUACAUGGCAUUUUCAUCUCCUGUUCUUCCAGUCACCUAAGAUUUUUCUGAACCAUGUGAUCACCAAAAAGUCAUCAACUCAAGUUGAGUGAGAACCUUCAGUUGUGUCUAAUGUGACUCAGCAUAGUGGAGAGUUGUCCAGGGAUGGCUGCAGGAAAAACAGUAUGGCUAAGGAUGAAGACAAAAGCCCCAUUCCCUCCUUUGUGAUUGGGAAACACUUGCCUGGUAUAAGGCACAAACUCCUAAGGUGUGGAGACCCAUGGCGAUGGAUUGUAUCGGGGAUAGCUGACUGAUGCUGUAUGAGCUGGGAGUGGAGUCCCUUCUGACCUCACAAACCAGGCUUCAGGAAUUGGGAUGGGAUGUGUGCUGGUACAGGGUUCAGAAUGUCCCACAUCCUCUGAUCUCAGGAGCUGUGUUAUGUCUAUUACAAUGGUUGUGUGUGCCUGUCACUAUUUGUUAUCAUAUAUUCUGACCACACUGUGCAAUGGGUACAUUCA